Long non-coding RNA from Rattus rattus (black rat), 390 nucleotides. RefSeq lists it as uncharacterized. The transcript is spliced from 2 exons. The record is from RefSeq and is a predicted model, not a curated record. Lineage: Eukaryota; Metazoa; Chordata; Mammalia; Rodentia; Muridae.
UUCUCCUUAACAACUAAUAAGCAAUUUUUCUUUGCCAAGUCACACAGGAAAUGAUCCAAGCUAAUCUGCUAUCUUGACCCUGGACAAGUCUCUUCUUCUGCAGGAUGGGCACAGAAAGGCAGCAUCCUUUCAUGAGUCCCAUGAGACAACUGUGGAGGACCAAGAGCUAACAUCUUUAUCCAUCUUGAAGCCCGAUCGAUGGCCCGCCUGGCAGCUGGGGACCUCCUUUGUUGUAUCAUACCACCCUGUCUGUUGCUGAUAACACUCAACUAUCAGUUAUUUGUUUUGCUGUCACAUAAAAUCUGGACGGGGUCACCUGAGAGGCCACUGGAUCAAAGAGUUGUAUUGACUCAGCUAUGGCUUCCUAGAGUAAAGCUGUAUCUAUGAUCA